This 425-nucleotide ribosomal RNA is filed under the name uncultured bacterium. RNAcentral describes it as "partial 16S ribosomal RNA". It matches the Rfam family "Bacterial small subunit ribosomal RNA", at positions 354 to 796 of the family's 1533-position model. The record is from RNAcentral.
GUGGGGAAUCUUGCGCAAUGGGCGAAAGCCUGACGCAGCCAUGCCGCGUGAAUGAUGAAGGUCUUAGGAUUGUAAAAUUCUUUCACCGGGGACGAUAAUGACGGUACCCUGAGAAGAAGCCCCGGCUAACUUCGUGCCAGCAGCCGCGGUAAUACGAAGGGGGCUAGCGUUGCUCGGAAUUACUGGGCGUACAGGGCGCGUAGGCGGAUCGUUAAGUCAGGGGUGAAAUCCCAGAGCUCAACUCUGGAACUGCCCUUGAUACUGGCGAUCUUGAGUGUGAGAGAGGUAUGUGGAACUCCGAGUGUAGAGGUGAAAUGCGUAGAUAUUCGGAAGAACACCAGUGGCGAAGGCGACAUACUGGCUCAUUACUGACGCUGAGGCGCGAAAGCGUGGGGAGCAAACAGGAUUAGAUACCCUAGUAGUCC